Astatotilapia calliptera (eastern happy) is the source of this 636-nucleotide long non-coding RNA. The record is from Ensembl. NCBI's taxonomy places the organism in Eukaryota, Metazoa, Chordata, Actinopteri, Cichliformes, Cichlidae.
CAGCCACUAGGCCCAGGAUCCUCCUGCUCCACCAGGCCCAGGAUCCUGCAGCAGCCACCAGGCCCAGGCUCUUCCAGCAGCCACUAGGCCCAGGAUCCUCCUGCUCCACCAGGCCCAGGAUCCUCCAGCAGCCACCAGGCCCAGGCUCUUCCAGCAGCCACCAGGCCCAGGAUCCUCCAGCAGCCACCAGGCCCAGGAUCCUGCAGCAGCCACCAGGCCCAGGCUCUUCCAGCAGCCACUAGGCCCAGGAUCCUCCAGCAGCCACCAGGCCCAGGCUCUUCCAGCAGCCACUAGGCCCAGGAUCCUCCUGCUCCACCAGGCCCAGGAGCGUUAAGAUGCCGCCUAAGAGGAGCAACGUUAAUGAGGAGGAACUGGAGGACAUAAAGAAAUCCCUAAACUUUAUGUCUGAAGAAAUAACAACAAUUUCAAAACAACAAAAACUGAUACUCAAUUUAAUGGAUGAUAUUAAAGAACUAAGAAGGCAGAGCGAGGAAAAGGACAAGAAGAUUGCUAUGCUGGAAGGACGGGUGUCAGAUCUGGAACAAUAUUCAAGAGUAAAUGAUGUGAUAGUGACAGGACUGGAAACCAAGCAUCAGACAUACGCACGGGUAGCAGCAGCAGAGAGAGGGGAGCCAC